This 495-nucleotide ribosomal RNA is filed under the name uncultured bacterium. RNAcentral's name for it is "partial 16S ribosomal RNA". It matches the Rfam family "Bacterial small subunit ribosomal RNA", at positions 28 to 507 of the family's 1533-position model. The record is from RNAcentral.
GACGAACGCUGGCGGCGUGCCUAAUACAUGCAAGUAGAACGCUGAAGGAGGAGCUUGCUUCUCUGGAUGAGUUGCGAACGGGUGAGUAACGCGUAGGUAACCUGCCUGGUAGCGGGGGAUAACUAUUGGAAACGAUAGCUAAUACCGCAUAAUAGUAGAUGUUGCAUGACAUUUGCUUAGAAGGUGCAAUUGCAUCACUACCAGAUGGACCUGCGUUGUAUUAGCUAGUUGGUGGGGUAACGGCUCACCAAGGCGACGAUACAUAGCCGACCUGAGAGGGUGAUCGGCCACACUGGGACUGAGACACGGCCCAGACUCCUACGGGAGGCAGCAGUAGGGAAUCUUCGGCAAUGGACGGAAGUCUGACCGAGCAACGCCGCGUGAGUGAAGAAGGUUUUCGGAUCGUAAAGCUCUGUUGUAAGAGAAGAACGAGUGUGAGAGUGGAAAGUUCACACUGUGACGGUAUCUUACCAGAAAGGGACGGCUAACUACGUG